AUACGGAGGAUCCGAGCGUUAUUCGGAUUUAUUGGGUUUAAAGGGUGCGCAGGCGGGAGAUUAAGUCGGCGGUGAAAUUUUGCAGCUCCACUGUAAAAGUGCCUUCGAAACUGGUUUCCUUGAGUGUAGAUGAAGUAGGCGGAAUUUGUGGUGUAGCAGUGAAAUGCAUAGAUAUCACGAGGAACUCCGAUUGCGCAGGCAGCUUACUAAACUACUACUGACGCUCAGGCACGAAGGCGUGGGGAUCAAACAGGAUUAGAUACCCUGGUAGUCCACGCAGUAAACGAUGAUUACUAGCUGUUUGCGAUACAAUGUAAGCGGCUGAGCGAAAGCGUUAAGUAAUCCACCUGGGGAGUACGUUCGCAAGAAUGAAACUCAAAGGAAUUGACGGGG
This 393-nucleotide ribosomal RNA is filed under the name uncultured bacterium. Its description in RNAcentral is "partial 16S ribosomal RNA". It matches the Rfam family "Bacterial small subunit ribosomal RNA", at positions 523 to 918 of the family's 1533-position model. The record is from RNAcentral.